Molecule: long non-coding RNA, 708 nt
Organism: Macrobrachium nipponense
Lineage: Eukaryota; Metazoa; Arthropoda; Malacostraca; Decapoda; Palaemonidae
Exons: 3
Source: RefSeq, a predicted model, not a curated record
AGUUCACUGCAUCGGCAAAGCUUGAGAGAUUUGUAGCCCACGCAGACAACUACACAACCAAGGGAAUUCUCAAAGGGCUCCCCUACUCCACCUCGGGAACCAUGGAAUUUGCCGCCAAUAAUCUGGAGGCUGUUGUUUCGCUGAGAAUCGCAAGAUUUACGUUCACGCCGUUUCAAAUCUGUCUUGCGGAACAGUCGCUCAGGGUUGACCUUACUGGAGAGAGCUUCGAGGCAAACUUUGAAAACGCAGAUGAGCUGAAUGCCGAAAUGAAUGCACACGGGGCUGAACUAGUGGCAGAACUACAAGAAAAGAUAAGGGCACAUGGCGAUGACGUCAUCAAUUGGGUCAACUUCAUAUUUUGCGAUCGCCUGUAAACCACAAUGGUUUUGCUUCCUGCUCGGACAAAGGCCACGCCCACAUGGAGGCAUGGGUGCCAAAUGUUUCUAGACAUUUAAUUUGCCUAUAAAUUUAAUGUGUUUCUCCACGAAAACUUAAUAAAAAUGGAUAUAAGGAAGCUCAAAAUACUGUAUACUUGAUACACGAUACGAAUUUUGCUUAUCCUAUUACAAAUUUAUCUGUGAAAAAAAGAUAUUAAAUAAGAAAAUUACAAAUUUUGAUUCUGCAAGGCUCAUUUUGUAGACAAAAUAAUUUUUCUUUGUUAUUCUGUAAAGUAAAUAAAUUCAUUUGUAUAGAAUGGGAUCAUUAUAA